UGCAGUCGAGCGAGAACGGCUCCUUCGGGGGCUUAGUAAAGCGGCGCACGGGUGAGUAACACGUGGGUAAUCUGCCCUUCGGUGGGGGAUAACAUCUCGAAAGAGGUGCUAAUACCGCAUAAGACCACAAGAUCUCCGGAUCAAGAGGUCAAAGGGGGUCGUCUUCGGGCGGCACUCGCCGAUGGAUGAGCCCGCGGCCCAUUAGCUAGUUGGCAGGGUAACGGCCUACCAAGGCGACGAUGGGUAGCUGGUCUGAGAGGAUGAUCAGCCACACUGGAACUGAGACACGGUCCAGACUCCUACGGGAGGCAGCAGUGGGGAAUUUUGCGCAAUGGGCGAAAGCCUGACGCAGCGACGCCGCGUGGGUGACGAAGGCCCUAGGGUCGUAAAGCCCUGUCAAGGGGAAAGAACAGGUUGCGUGGUAACUCCGCAGCUUUGACGGUACCCCUAAAGGAAGCACUGGCUAACUCCGUGCCAGCAGCCGCGGUAAUACGGGGAGUGCAAGCGUUGUUCGGAAUCAUUGGGCGUAGAGCGCGCGUAGGCGGCGCGGAAAGUCUGAAGUGAAAGCCCUCGGCUCAACCGAGGAAGUGCUUUGGAAACUGCCGUGCUUGAGUCCUGGAGGGGCAGGUGGAAUUCCCAGUGUAGAGGUGAAAUUCGUAGAUAUUGGGAGGAACACCAGUGGCGAAGGCGGCCUACUGGACAGUGACUGACGCUGAGGCGCGAAAGCGUGGGGAGCAGACAGGAUUAGAUACCCUGGUAGUCCACGCCGUAAACGAUGGGUACUAGUUGUCGCGGGUAUCGACCCCUGCGGUGACGAAGUUAACGCACUAAGUACCCCGCCUGGGGAGUACGGCCGCAAG
RNAcentral lists this ribosomal RNA (860 nucleotides) under uncultured marine bacterium. RNAcentral describes it as "bacterial SSU rRNA". It matches the Rfam family "Bacterial small subunit ribosomal RNA", at positions 56 to 892 of the family's 1533-position model. The record is from RNAcentral.